Molecule: non-coding RNA, 739 nt
Organism: Onthophagus taurus
Lineage: Eukaryota; Metazoa; Arthropoda; Insecta; Coleoptera; Scarabaeidae
Source: RefSeq, a predicted model, not a curated record
UUAGAAAUAUCUUGUCCAAUUUGUGGAAAAGAUAGAAAAGGGGAAGAAUCAAUGACUAUCCAUAUGAAAAAACAUAAGGACAACAGACAUUUUUGCUGUGAUAUUUGCAAAUUUAAAACUCUUCAAUUAAAGAAAUUAAUCCAACAUCGCCGUAUGCAUACAGGAGAAAAACCCCAUUUGUGUCCAUUCUGUUCCUACAGAUCCGCCCGAAGAGAUAAUUUAAGAAGCCACGCUCGACGGGUUCAUAAAAAAGAUAGCUUACCCUGCGACACAUUUAGGCCGCGAAAUAUGAUCCUGGAACCAUCAAAAUAAUUUUAUUUAAAUGUAAUUAUAUAACAUGGUGCUGAUUUAAGACUGUAUUGAUAUAUUUUAUGUCAUCUCAACUUGCCAAUACGAUACUAUUUGAAUGUGUCAUCAAACUGAAACGUUUCUAGUCAUUAUUGUAAUAAUAAUGUUAAUAAGGUGACUUAACGAAGGGAAUGAGCUAAAUUAUUUAACGCAAAGACUUUGAUAAAGACUAUAAUUAAUUAUAAAUAAUCUAAAGUACGUGUUUACAAUGCUCAUUCUCUUUUUAUAUUUUUUAAUUCAUUAAGUAAAUUUAUUCAAAUAUACUUUAUAUAUUAUAUACAAUUUACUUGUAGAUGUAUUAUAAUUGAUUUAAUUUUAUUCAUAUUUACCCUGUUUAGAUAAGUCCUUGUUAUUGAUGUUUAAUUAUCAAAAUAAAUGUUCUUGGCAACUU